CAAAUAGUUAAAUAUAUCUACAUGUUAAUUAUAUGCUUUUUGUGUCAGUAUUUCUAUAAGUGAAAAUUCUGAUUAAAGGAGAAAAAAGCAGCAGUAAAAAAAAAGAAAGAAAUUUAAUACAAGAGGGAAAAAAGAUUGGAAAUGAAACUUGCGCAUUCUCUCAAAGUAUAUAUUGUUGCCUAGGGCCACACUAACAGUGAUGGGUUUCACUGCAAUAUAGCUAAUGACAUCUUUAAAGACUCUCACUUGAAAUUUGUUGUUCUGGGCUUUAUUCUUAUAUUAGUCAGUCAGUGACUUUCAAUGGACUACUUUUGUGUCUAAAUGCCCCAUUCAUUUCAAAGGGCUCAUAAUACAGAAAUAAUUUUCAAAAUCAGGUGCAAAAUGAUAUUCCAUUAUCAUAUAACAAUGAGAUAAAAUGGUGUUCAUAAUCUUUAUGUUAUAUCACAAUUUAUUUCAAUAAUUUUUGUUUCAUUAAGCCUCAUUAUGUGCAAUUCUCUUAAUAACUUUCUCAACAAAAAUUCUGAGUGCCAAAACAAUGCUUUACAUGUUUUUGGUUUAUUUUUGUAAUGUUCCCCUUCAUUUUUAUUUAGUUACAUACAUUUUUUGAAACAAUACCCCGUGGUAAUUUAUCUUUUUUCUCCAAGAGCCAGGAAAAGCUCCUGAAGCCAAACAAGGAACUACAAAAGUUGCAGCACAAGCAGCAGCUAAAAAGGAUGAAAAGAAGGAAGGUAUGUUUUAUACAAAAUCCCACUGUGUCUUUUGUUGAAACAAUUUGCCAAUAUUCAGAGUUAGGUUUAGACUGCUCUCCUUCCUAUAUUCCCUUUGGAUAACUGGAUCUAUUAUGUGCAUAAAUUUGUCUUAAAUGUGCUUUUUCUAUCUCACUUCACACAAAAGAAUGAGAUGAUUUUUAAAAAAAAUUUUUAGUCUUUCUCAAGACAUAAGGGAUAAAGCUUACCUGUCCAAAUCCUAAGCCCCUAUUCUGUCAGUUUCAUAUUUCAGAAAAUAUUAAAAAUUUAAAAUACAAACCCAUAGACAUCAUUCUCCUAUAUCAACAGUAAUCAAAUUACAAAUUCACCGCUUUAAGGUUUGUAUUCAUAUUCCUUCCAUUGUUAAUACCUCUAGGACUUUUUGUUCUCUUUUUCCUGGCUUAUACACUUCAUUUCACUUUUGAGAAAUUGUUCACAAUCAGUAUGUAAUAUUUAUAAAAGUUUGGGCAGAAGUUUUUCUAUGGAAUUCAAGAGAUCUAGUGUCUGUGACCAAACAACCAUAAAACAUGUAAAAAAAUGUCCUUGGUGACGUCAAGAUUGAAAUUUAUAUGAGUUUCAACCUCAAGUUUUUCUUUGACCCUAAAAUUUUGUUCUCUAUACAUUUUAGUUUUAUUUAAUCCUUUCUAAAAUAAUUAGAAAAACUAAUCUUCAUUAACAGCCUCUAGUCCUCAAGUUGAAAUCUCCCAGUGCCAUUUGUGACCUUACAUUUGUCUCACUAACUUUGCAUGUCAAUUAGGGCAAUAACCUCCAAAAUCAGAGUUUUUUACAAAAAAGUGGUCAUGAUUCCACAGGGUCCCUGAGAUACUUUCCAAGAUUAUUUAAAGUCAAACUUAUUUUUAUAAAAAAUACGUAAUCACCAUUUGCCUUUUUCACUUUCAGUCUCACAUUAAUGUUUUUUCAGAAGAUAAAUGAUAUUUGAUAUUGCAAAAGACUAAAUACUUAAGCAGGUGUGCAAAUCUAAGUGUCUUCUAAUUAAGCCAGUUAUUA
Long non-coding RNA from Castor canadensis (American beaver), 1754 nucleotides. The record is from Ensembl. Lineage: Eukaryota; Metazoa; Chordata; Mammalia; Rodentia; Castoridae.